Molecule: non-coding RNA, 4891 nt
Organism: Microcebus murinus (gray mouse lemur)
Lineage: Eukaryota; Metazoa; Chordata; Mammalia; Primates; Cheirogaleidae
Source: RefSeq, a predicted model, not a curated record
GCCAAAUGUGUAAGAUGGUGGAGCCAUAACACAGAAGGAGCAUGAAUUUCUGUAUCGCAAUGUGGAGUGAGAGGAGACAAGUCCUAGUUGACUCUGGUGUUGAGGAAGAACAACCUACAAAAUGCUGCCUUUCUGGAAAAGCAGUAAGGUCAAUUUUCUCCCCAGAUUGUCUUCUCAGAAGAAUCUACUACACUGCCUGGCACAUAAUCCACCCUUAACCCAGUUGUUGACAUAAACUUUAUCCUCCCAACAACCCCAUCAGUACACAGAGCAGGAUUCUCCUAAGUGAAAUGUGGGCGCGAGGCGACUGCACCUCUAUCCCCGCUUGGGCCUCCCCCCGUCAAAGCAUCUUCGAGCAACUCGCAUUCUGCAAUGGCUGAAGAAUGUCGAGUGUGGACGGCUGAGAGGGGGAGAUGCGGGGGGCCAAAUCAAGCCCAGAUGUCAGUCUCCCCCCACCCAAGCUGUAGGCUGGGACAGAGCUCAGAGGAAGAGCCCCCAGUGGGGUUGCCGGAGCUGAGCGUAAACACCCGCUGCCGACUGCCCACCGGGCAUGGCUGCACUUGCGUCGGCCCCCAGUAAGAACGUCUGCAGAGGCCCUUUGUCUCGUCUCUCUCUGAAGUCAUGCUAGGACACAGGUGUGCGUCCCCCACAGCCAGCCGCCAGAGAAGAUGAAUCAGCUUCCCUGAGAGACGUGCCCCACAGCAGUCUGUCAGCUGACACCCGUCUGAAGGAGCACGGUUCCCCUCCUGACCACAGCUAAUGGAAAUGUGUGGUUUGCCCAGGGAGGAAUCUGUGCUAUUCUUUAAAGGAACAAUGUUGACCACAGAUGUACAGCAUCUGGCAUGCGCUGGGGUUUCCCUGAACGAGGAGCACAGCAGCUGGACCUGCCAGCUCAGGAGGUGCCUGUGGGUCUAGGCAGGCACUUUCCUCCUUCUGGCUCUGGAUUGUGGUUCUCAGAAGUUGAGGUGGAAGUUCAAAUGCCUCUUCCUAUCACUUGUAUUUGCAUAAUAUGCUCCCCCUCCCUUAUCUUCUACGACUCUUGACAUACACAACUGAGAUGUCCAAGGACCUACAUCCCUGCCCUAGGUCUCUGCUCUUGCUGUUCUCCACACCUAUUCUGCCAUUUCUCUUUUUUAUGAGUCUUUCCAUUGCAAACGAGAGAAGCCCAGCUGCAACUUCAAGAAAACAAACAAACAAAACAUAAAAACUAUAGUUAUUGAGUAAGGUGAAUGGAUUCAUGUGAAGGAAAUGUAGGAUGCCUUUCCCCAGUCUUAUUCCAUUAAAAAUGUUGAUUCCAGAUUUAGAAGGUACCAGGCAUUGGACUGGGUGCAGGGACUUCAGUGACAAAUAAAAUGGGCAUGAUCUCUGGCCUAAUGGAAUUUUACGUUUUUUCAGAUUGUCAUAUUCAUGAAGAAACUGAAGUUCAGACCAGUGACUGCCAAGCAUCACAUAGUCUGUAAAGAGCAGGGCUGGAGUUUGAAUCCAGUUCUUCUGACUUUAACCCCAAGCUUUUCCCAGCUACUCCCCUGUGGCUUCCAUGGUAACUCAAGUCACUUCCAAAGCCAAAGUGAGAGUCCUGGAGUUCAUUACCAAAGAAACAGGCCGCUGGACCUGGCCAUCUGCCUUGGCAGUUGGGAUUUGGAAUUGAGUUCCUAUUUGGCGUCGGAUCGCUCCCUCCAGAAAUGGGUGGGUUGGGAUGGAAUGGUAAUGAGAGCCCUGUUUGCUCCAGAGGGUCCACUCCCUGUCCUGCUCGCCAGCCAUAGUGGUCGGCCACCCUCUUUCAGCCCCUCAUUGAUUACAAAGAGUUGAUUUCUUCUGAUGCAAGAGGCUGAGCCAAGGGCAGUUAGAGCUGAGCCAUGGCCCCCCCAAAUUACUGCCUUCCCGACUAAAUAUGACAGGCAGCUUUCCCAAGGGCUCUCAUCCAGGGCAAAGAGGCCGGUUCUGGGCUUUCAUCUCCCUGGUUCAGUGUCUGAUGUGUGCACCUUCCUUCCCCACCAGUGCCCAAAUGGCCUGAGAACCAGGCUGCUCUCUCUGCUGGUCCCGGCCCUUCCUGAACCAUCCCCGGAGGAGCCUCGGUGAUGCUGCCAGCAAGACCCAUCCCAAGUCUCUGGUUUGCCCUGGCCCUCAACGUGCUGACCCAGCCCACUGUGGGGUGGUGGCGCCAGGCUGGGGGCUCCUCCUAAACUGGGCACCACCAUCCGGAUGAGUUAAAGAACCAUCUUCAUAUUGAAAACAGUGGUGACUCCCCUCCCGUGACCCAAGCCAGGGCAGAUCUCGCUUCGUCUGCUCAGUUUCAUUAAGGAGAAGUUUACAGUGAGCAGAUGCUCAGGUUAGAACUGAUUCCUUAAUAUUGCUCCUGCCAGAAAGAUAGGAAUAAAGCAUUCGGCCUACAAGAGUUGGCUUCUCGCACAGACUUCUGGAUUUACCCCUUGGAGAAAUGUCACAGAUGGUCUUUUAAUCAUGUUUUAUGUGCCUAGAGACCGAUAAUAAGAAGAACUUCUUAUUUAGCAAAGCAACUUCUAGCCCCUUAAUGACAGGCUAAGUAUCAGCUACUGGCAGGAUAUGUAGUGGGGGAGUACUGUGUAAUUACCAAGCAAAUUCAUAAUUAUUUCUGUCUUAUAAACCAGAAUAUGUGUUAAAUAAUACUUUGGGGCCACUGAAAGUAAUUACGGAGCCCCAUCUCUGUAAGAACAUGUAAUUAGCUUACGGUUGCCCUGUGUUUACUAAGCAAAUCUAUGCGAUUAUUAUCGAAAGCCCAGAUCCUGCCCUCAGAGCCACAAAAGUGCACCCAAGGGCAGGUCUGCAGCAUGUGCACGAGGUCACCGAGCAUGGGGGCCUCCACUUUCCAAAUUCCAGCUCUGCCCUCAUCCUCGGACUCUGAAAAGCCACAAGCGAGGCCUUGAGAGGCAAGUGGCUUGUGUCUUUGCCUACCCCUGCCCCGUGCUCCGGCCUCCCUGCUUCGAGAAGUCAAGUAGUAAGAGGCUAUUCCCACCUGAGCGUCCCUGCCACCAGGCACUCGGGGACCUCAGCAUCUGGCUGCGGCAGCUUCAGCUCCGUAGUUGAAAGAGGCUCUUUGCACAGUCACCUCAGGUCAGGAGUAGGACAUGGCCCCUGCUUUAGAGGGCCCCAGUGGCAGGGGCAGACAGGUGUCAGGGAAGGCAGACUUGGCAUGGCAGGGACUGCAUAGCAUCAAGGUCAAGAGCACAAGUUCCGGAGCCAAUUUGCAUCUGCAAGAUAGAGAUAAGCAGAGUGCCUCCGUCCUGGACCGACGUGUGAGCGCUAUGCCAAUGCGCUGUUGUCGUAACGAGGUAAACGUGGAGGAACGCACUUCCGAGUUGUUUAGCACUCAAAUGCCACCGUGAAAUAAAUAAGGCCUUCCCUGCUCCUGCCCGAGAGAAGUGUUCUCUCCCUGCUCAGAGCUGACCGAGCACCUCAUCCCAGCUGUCUCUUACGGCCGUCCGCGUUGGCUACCAGGCACUGUGUUAACUGCUGUUGAUCUCUGACCUCCCUUACGGAGCUUUCCGAGUUCUGGGUCUGAGCCGUAUUCAUCUCUGUGUCCCUAACACCAAGCACAGGGCCAGAGGCGCAGUAGGCACUCUUGACAUGUUUGUUGAAUGAAUAGCAGUCACUCAAUAAACACUUGUUAAAAAAAAAUAAGGGACUCUUUAAAGGCCUAUUUGACCACGUGGCCAGGGCAAUGAGCCAAAACCACAGAUUUUAUUUUGUUUUUGCUAAUGUGGGUACAUGUGGGGGAGUUGGAUUUUGAAAGGAUUCCAGAAGAGAUUUCUUUACUGCUCAGAUGGGUGAACAAAAGACUAAUUAAUUAAAAACAAAGAAACAAAGGCCCCAAGCAGUAGGCUCCUUUCUGCUCCCUGGGUAUUGACGAGUUGACAUUUGACUGUGAGGCUGGGUCCCCAGGCAGGACCCCAGAUCCUUUUCUCCGGCAUCCCCAGGCCUGGGCUGGCCCCAGCGAGCUGCAGAGCUGAAAGCAUUAUUGUUAACUGCUUUUGUCGGGGAGGUCUCCCAGCUGGUCCCGGGUCACCAUGCUUCACUGUUUGCUUGUGUGUUCUUAAGCUGGGGCCCUUGGGUAUUAGCAAAAGAUUAGAUUUUUCUUUCUUUGUCACCAACAGUUCCUCCCCCUCCUUCUUCCCCUGUCCUCUGUCCUUGUCAUUCCUUCGGUCUCAGUGUGUCCCAGGGUGAAUGUGAAUGAGGCUGGGCACAGGCUGGAAGGUCAGCGGCCUGCCCCUUUUCUGGAAGGCACCCCUUCUCUGGUAGAUUCUUAAUCUUGAUAAUAGGAACAAUGACUAAAUAGGUAUAUUUAACAUUUCAAAGAACUUUCCCACAACUUUUCUAGUCUGACCAACAAGACUAUGUGGCAGGUAUUUUUGUGAGCCCCAUUUAUAGUUAGGAAGUGUAUCAUCCAGAGAGUGAUCUGCCUGUCAUUGCAACCAGUGGGUGCUAGAAGAGAACUCAAGGACACAUUUUCCACCUCCCACCUCUAUGCUUUUUCUAAUCUACCACACUGUCUGCGAUUCUCUGAAAGGCUCGGGAAAGCCUGCCUAAUAGCUAGUAGGCUAAGGACACGUUAGAGGAAAUGCAGUUACAAUUGUAAGCACGCAGCACCCAUUGUCAUUGCAUUUUAGGAUUUUCCAGGUGAUCAAGUCUGGUCAUUUCUUGUGUUUGACAGUAGGAUAGAUGAGGAUGAGCUGGAGGUCAGUAAGACGCAUGUAAACGUCAAAGCUAAAUGUCUGCAAAGUGAUUCACCAACUCUUGUUCAUUGCAUUCAACCAAAGAACAUUCUAAAGCCAGAGCUGGGCGUGGUGGUUGAUACCUGGAAUCCCAGCGCUUUGAGAGGCUGAGGUGGGAGCAUUGUUUGAGCCCAGGAGUUUGC